CUGAGUGAAAUCUAUAAAGUCAUUCCUAGCGAUAAGAAAUGCGAUGCUAAAUUUUGCCUACAUGUUUUACUCUUAAAGUAAUUCAUUUUGUUUAAUUUUAUCUAUUCGUGUAAUCAGUAGACUCACCAAGACCUUAAAGUCCAUAGGUAGCAAAUAAUGAAAUUCAAGACAAUCCAGAAAUGUAUGGAUGUCCGUGGCAAUGGUUUUAAAAGUCGAAGCAAUGGGAGAUUGAAAAGUAGGCGUCAGUCACGAAAAUCAAGACUAGAGUGAUGAAACAUCGAAAGAAUUUGCGAUCAGAAUGGAGGACAAUGGACCUCCACAUCAGAGAACGAGAAAAAAGAAUAUUGCGUCUAAUUAGAGGGGUCUCACUGUGGCCGAGUGGUUAGAACCGCUGAAUACUGGGAGUUCAAUCCUAAACGAAUGGGCUGUUGCAUGGUCGAUUUUUGUGGUUUUCCUCACCUGUAAUAUGAAUAUGAGCUAGUUUCCAUUAAAUUCCCCCGUGAAGGCAUCCGUGCUCUCAUAGAGAGCGUUUAUGUGCUUUGCCAAACUCGAAACACCUUACCUAACCUAUCCGUACUCUUUCAGUAACAAUAUUAAUGAAUAAAAAUUAAAUUAUUAACAACAGUAAUAAAGCUACAGUUACCUGAAAUGAGAAAUAUAAGAGAGUAAAAUCCGAAAUAC
Long non-coding RNA from Stegodyphus dumicola, 681 nucleotides. The record is from RefSeq and is a predicted model, not a curated record. NCBI's taxonomy places the organism in Eukaryota, Metazoa, Arthropoda, Arachnida, Araneae, Eresidae.